This 356-nucleotide RNase P RNA is filed under the name Janthinobacterium sp. 17J80-10. RNAcentral describes it as "Bacterial RNase P class A". It matches the Rfam family "Bacterial RNase P class A". Rfam says of the family: Ribonuclease P (RNase P) is a ubiquitous endoribonuclease, found in archaea, bacteria and eukarya as well as chloroplasts and mitochondria. Lineage: Bacteria; Pseudomonadati; Pseudomonadota; Betaproteobacteria; Burkholderiales; Oxalobacteraceae. The record is from Rfam by way of RNAcentral.
GAAGCAAGCCAGACAGCCGCUGGCCGGGGGCAUUCAUGCCGCCGGCGGGAGGAAGGUCCGGACUCCACAGAGCAGGGUGACGGUUAACGGCCGUCCGCUGAAAGCCUGGCCGGCGCAAGCCGGGAGGGUAUAAGGCGAGGAACAGGGCCACAGAGACGAGCGUAUUCAGUUACGGUGAAACGCGGUAACCUCCACCCGGAGCAAUUCCAAAUAGGCACGCGUUGAUGUUGCUCGCGGAGCGUGCGGGUAGGAAGCUUGAGCCAUGGAGUAAUUCAUGGCCUAGAGGAAUGGCUGUCAUAGCCGCCAGGGAAACUUGUCGGCCGUAACAGAAUCCGGCCUAUCGGCUUGCUUUAUUU